This 455-nucleotide ribosomal RNA is filed under the name uncultured bacterium. RNAcentral's name for it is "bacterial SSU rRNA". It matches the Rfam family "Bacterial small subunit ribosomal RNA", at positions 29 to 526 of the family's 1533-position model. The record is from RNAcentral.
AACGAACGCUGGCGGCAGGCUUAACACAUGCAAGUCGAACGCACCGCAAGGUGAGUGGCAGACGGGUGAGUAACGCGUGGGAACGUGCCCUUCAGUUCGGGAUAACCCAGGGAAACUUGGGCUAAUACCGGAUACGUGCGAGAGCAGAAAGAUUUAUCGCUGAAGGAUCGGCCCGCGUCUGAUUAGCUAGUUGGUGAGGUAAUGGCUCACCAAGGCGACGAUCAGUAGCUGGUCUGAGAGGAUGAUCAGCCACAUUGGGACUGAGACACGGCCCAAACUCCUACGGGAGGCAGCAGUGGGGAAUAUUGGACAAUGGGCGCAAGCCUGAUGCAGCGACGCCGCGUGAGGGAUGACGGCCUUCGGGUUGUAAACCUCUUUCAGCAGGGACGAAGCGCAAGUGACGGUACCUGCAGAAGAAGCACCGGCCAACUACGUGCCAGCAGCCGCCGUAAAAC